AUUUAACAACGUAUACAAAGAUAGCAAAAGCAAUAGUACUCAGACUUAUAUACCACUUUACAGUCCUCUCUAAGCAGUUUACAGAGUCACCAUAUUGCCUCCAACAAUCUGGGUCCUCAUUUUACCCACCUUGGAAGGAUGGAAGGCUGAGUUAACCU
Molecule: non-coding RNA, 158 nt
Organism: Notechis scutatus (mainland tiger snake)
Lineage: Eukaryota; Metazoa; Chordata; Lepidosauria; Squamata; Elapidae
Source: RefSeq, a predicted model, not a curated record